RNAcentral lists this long non-coding RNA (4224 nucleotides) under Sus scrofa (pig). Its description in RNAcentral is "lncRNA (ENSSSCG00000057230.1)". The record is from RNAcentral. Lineage: Eukaryota; Metazoa; Chordata; Mammalia; Artiodactyla; Suidae.
GGCCCUUGCACUUGAACCCUUGCUUUCUGCUCUGAAUGGGGCAACAGCUGCCUAUGAGAAGGGAGCCUUUCCUGCGUGUGCUCACAGUGACUGAGGAGCGGGGACGAACAUAUUUGCCGCAAGCUGCUCUCUCGGGAGGCAGUGAGGGAGGGGAGAAGCUGCCUCAUAGGGACCUGCUCCUGGGUCUCCCUCUGUGACCCCCAGACCCAGUGAGUCUCAAAUCAGAGCUUCUCAAACUCCUCUGCACAUGUGCAUUGCCUGGAGAUCUUAAGAUGCAGAUUCUGAUUCAGGAGGCCUGGAACAGGCCCAGAGCUUCUGCACGUCUCCUCGGCCCCAGGUGACGCAGUGCUGCUGGCUCCUGGCCCGUGUUUGAGAGGAGGAAACGGAAGCCCAGGUAAGUUAAGCAAUUUAGCCAAAAUCGCCAAGUCCGCCACCACCUCCCCUCCCACCUUCACUGCAGCACAGCACGUGCCCCCGCCACCUGCUUAGAGAAAGUGACAUUCUUCUCAGGAAGCAGCCCUGCCCUAGGGUGCGUUUGAGUCAAUGAAUUAGUGCAGUUUCCUCUCAGGAAUUUCUGCAGUUUUGGUCUGGUCCCGUUGGAGUUCCCCAUUAUGGCUCAGCAGAAAUGAACUGACUAGUAUCCACGAGGAUACGGGUUCGAUCCCUGGCCUUGCUUAGUGGGUUAAGGAUCUGGUAUUACUGUGGCUGUGGUGUAGGCUGGCAGCUACAUCUCUGAUUUGCCCCCUAGCUUGGAAACUUCCGUAUGCCAUACCUGCGGCCCAAGAGAUGGCAAAAAGACAAAAAAAAAGAAAAAGACCAGACUAGCAAACUAAACUAAGGAGAUUCCAGGCUACAUCAAAAAAGUGAGCACCUACGCCAUAAACCCUGUUUCACCGCAUCAGCAGACCAAAAACCUCCAGGGUGUGUGAGAGGUGUUUGCUCUCAAUCUGGUUACCAGCUGCUCAGGAGGAACUGUGUUCCUCCCCAAGUUCGUAUGUUGAAGUCUAAGCCCCCGGGACCUCAGAAUGUGACUGCGUUUGGACACAAGUCCUUUUUUUUUUAUUAUUUAAAUAAAGUUUUAUUGGAGUUCCUGUCGUGGCACAGUGGUUAACGAAUCCAACUAGGAACCAUGAGGUUGCGUGUUUGGUCCCUGGCCUUGAUCAGUGUGUUAAGGAUCCAGCGUUGCCAUGAGCUGUGGUGUAGGUCACAGAUGAGGCUCGGAUCUGGCAUUGCUGUGGCUGUGGUGUAGGCUGGCAGCUACAGCUCCGAUUUGACCCCUAGCCUGGUUACCUCCGUGUGCCAGGAGCAGCCCAAGAAGUGGCAAAAAGACAAAAAAAAGUUUUAUUGAAGUCUAGUUGAUCUGCCAGGUUGUGAUAAUUUCUGCUGUACAACAAAGUGAGUUAUCCGUGUACACAUGUUCAUUUUUUCUUCGGAUUCUUCUCCCAUGUAGACUGGACAUAGAUCCUUUAAAGAGGCGAAAAUCCUAUAGGACUGGUGUCCUUAUAAGAAGAGGUGAGGACACAGACUCACAGAGGGAAGACAGCCCUUUACAGGCCACUGAGAGAGGCCUCGGGAGAAAGCAAACCUGCCAACACCUUGAUCUUGGAUUUAACGACCUCACAACAGGGAGGAGAUUGUUUGUUUAUAAACCACCCAGUCUGUGGUACUUUGCUACGGCGGGCCUAGGAAACGAACAUACCAGCUAAUAAGAUGGAGACAGAAAGGAGGUAGCGCAUGUCCCCUUGGCAUGUUCUGCAGGAAUGUGUGCUCAGAAUGGCCAUCUCCCAGCAGCGGGAUGCCAGGUGGCAGAGCCUGGUUUCUGAGAAGAUGAGGGCAGGGCAAAGCAGAAUUUCUGUUCCUCAAAUUGCACACACUGCCCCAGUGAGAGAUCUUUUUAAGCUACUUCUAACCAAGUAAUUUAAUAGAGAAAAAAUUGAGAGCAGCAGUGUUCACAACAGCCAAAAGAUAGAAACAUUGCAAAGAAUCAGCAACAGAGGAGCAGAUGGCAUGUGGCGUAUCCACACCACGGAAUAUUCGGUCUUAAAAAGGAAGGAAAUUCCAACACCUGCUACAAUACAAUGUGCGUGGACUUCGAAGACAUUCUGCUAAAGGAAAUAAGCCCGACACGGAGGACAAAUAUUGUAUGAUUUCAUUAAUACGGUAUGUAGAGUAGUCAAAUUCGUUCAGGCAGAAAGUAGAAGACGACUUACCAGGGAUGGGAGUCCUGUUACAUGGGUAGAGUUGGUGUUUGGAAGGAUGAAAAGGUACAGAGAGUCAUGGCAGUUACACAGUGUUAGUACUAUACUCAGUGCCACUAAACUAUGCUCUUAAAAUGAUAAAUAAUCUGUUACGUAGUCUAUCGCAAUUUUACCAGUUUGGCAUAAACCAAAGUUAAAAAUUUUUUUUUCUCAAAAAUGAAUUGUACUGAGACAUUUUCAGCCUCCUAGUUGAGCAGAAAGUCUUACUGGGAAAGGAAGGUGGAAUUUGGGAUUUUGGCAAUGAAUGGGAGGGAGAGUCUUUCAGAGAAAAGAUUUGUGUGGCUUCAAGUGAGUGAGAUGAGGAGAGUUAGGGUGCUAGGGGGUCAGAGGGAAGAGGAUUGGAAAAGUCCAAUGAGAGAUGUCAACUCUUCUCAAUUUUUUCCCCAGCAGGUUCCUUUCUCACCCCUUCUCCCAACCGUGGCUUGAUUUUCUCCGUAGCUACGUACUUCCCUGUGGAAGCUUUGAGCCUCCAGGCACCCACAGCACUCUCACUUCACACCUGUUUCCCUCUUUACCCAUUAAAGUGUAAUAUCCUGAAAGGUUACACGACUCAGACAAAUAUAAAGUGCUUGCUUAACAUAUUAAUUCUACUUAAUGUAGUAAUUAAUGAAAGAACAAUUAAGAAGUUAGAAACCAGUGCAAAUGAGAUUUAGACCUACAGGAUUUAUAUUUUCUACCAGACAAGAUUCUUUUGCAUGAGCGGGACCCAGCAGCAUUGCUAGAGACAGGACAUGUUUGCAUGACUCUCCCUUUCCUCCAAGUUUACACCUAUCCCUAAGGAUACCCUAUGGAUAACCCUAACCCUAACUAGUCCAGCCAGAGACAAUCUUAGAGGAUCUGGCACUCCUGGGUGGUCUGGGGGACAACACCCCCGCAUUUCAUGGGAAGGAUACCAGUAAUUUCUUGCCCAUUUCCAAACCUUGGUCAGCUUUCCUAGCAUCUCUAUUUUGCAAUGUGUAAGUGGGGGAGUUUGCAGCCAACGCUGUGGGUCUGGUCCAACCUGUCUUGGGCUGAGCGGAAGUCACCCUUUUAGCUGACCUCCUUCCAAGGUCACUUGAGCUUCACGUCUGCAUCCCCGGGCACCCACUAUUACUUGAACUUCUGCCAACAUUCCAGCAUUUUCUGCCCCAGCGUUUACUACUUUGUUGUAUUUAAUCUACCUGUGGCAAAACGCUGCUUGUGGUCCCAGCUCAAUCACCCACAGCCCUCCCUCAUGCUCUGCAUCCAUGUCCUUCAUUCUGGGGUGGGAAAACCAAUAUCUGCUCCUUUAGUACAAUACUUUCUCGCUCAUUCUGUGGCAGCUAACAGUUCACAAUGGGGCAGAAAAAGGAUCCAGCACUAUAAACAUUUUUAACAAUAUUUGAAGCAUGUACUCAAUUUGAGUGCUUAUUCUGUUAGGCUUUAUAUUUAGAGCUUAGAUAGAUUUUUAUUCUAAAGCCUUUCCAAUCUGGGGGGUAACAGCCAGGAAAUCAGAUCAUUAGCAAACUGAGAAUCUGAGAAAUGCCACCACCGUGUAUGGCCUUCUGAUGCCCUCACCUUUUAGAGGCCUGUUGCUUUGCCCAAAUUCCACAUAGCUGUAAGCCUUGGAGCACACAGCCUGUGAGUUCCUUCGAGUACCUGUUAUUGUGUACAAGGAAUGACUUAUUGGGACAAGCCAUGGCCACCCCCACCCCGUACCGCAGAAUGUGACCUUGUUUGGAAAUAGAGUCCUUGAAGAUGUAAUCAGUUAAGAUGAGGACAGACUUCCUGUCCUGGCUCAGUGGUAAUGAGCCCGACUGGUAUCCAUGAGGACGAACAUUCGAUCCCUGGCCUCGCUCAGUAGGUUAAGGAUCCAGUGUUGCUGUGGGCGGUGGUGGAGGUCACAGACACGGCUCAGAUCUGGCAUUGCUGUGGCUGUGGCGUAGGCCAGCGGCUCCAGCUCCAAUUCGACCCAAGCCUGAGAAUUACCGUAUGCUGAGGGUGUGGC